Sulfitobacter sp. CB2047 is the source of this 153-nucleotide non-coding RNA. The record is from Rfam. Lineage: Bacteria; Pseudomonadati; Pseudomonadota; Alphaproteobacteria; Rhodobacterales; Roseobacteraceae.
GUUACUGUAGCGCGGGUUGUAGUUGAUAAACGCAUAUCCGCGCGCCUGGUCGAUGACGUGGAACAAGGGGUUCCAGUCGAACAUGGCCAGCAUGAAGGACGGCAGCGAAUUGGCCAGAAACAUCUUGCCCGAGGCGAUCAUAUUCGCCCGCUG